This 740-nucleotide ribosomal RNA is filed under the name Saccharothrix longispora subsp. yanglingensis. RNAcentral's name for it is "bacterial SSU rRNA". It matches the Rfam family "Bacterial small subunit ribosomal RNA", at positions 78 to 834 of the family's 1533-position model. Lineage: Bacteria; Bacillati; Actinomycetota; Actinomycetes; Pseudonocardiales; Pseudonocardiaceae. The record is from RNAcentral.
CUUCGGGGUACACGAGCGGCGAACGGGUGAGUAACACGUGGGUAACCUGCCCUGUACUCUGGGAUAAGCCUGGGAAACUAGGUCUAAUACCGGAUACGACCUGUCACUGCAUGGUGGUGGGUGGAAAGUUCCGGCGGUAUGGGAUGGACCCGCGGCCUAUCAGCUUGUUGGUGGGGUAAUGGCCUACCAAGGCGACGACGGGUAGCCGGCCUGAGAGGGUGACCGGCCACACUGGGACUGAGACACGGCCCAGACUCCUACGGGAGGCAGCAGUGGGGAAUAUUGCACAAUGGGCGAAAGCCUGAUGCAGCGACGCCGCGUGAGGGAUGACGGCCUUCGGGUUGUAAACCUCUUUCAGCAGGGACGAAGCGUGAGUGACGGUACCUGCAGAAGAAGCACCGGCUAACUACGUGCCAGCAGCCGCGGUAAUACGUAGGGUGCGAGCGUUGUCCGGAAUUAUUGGGCGUAAAGAGCUCGUAGGCGGUUUGUUGCGUCGGCUGUGAAAACUUCACGCUUAACGUGGAGCCUGCAGUCGAUACGGGCAGACUUGAGUUCGGCAGGGGAGACUGGAAUUCCUGGUGUAGCGGUGAAAUGCGCAGAUAUCAGGAGGAACACCGGUGGCGAAGGCGGGUCUCUGGGCCGAUACUGACGCUGAGGAGCGAAAGCGUGGGGAGCGAACAGGAUUAGAUACCCUGGUAGUCCACGCCGUAAACGGUGGGUGCUAGGUGUGGGGGACUUCC